This 252-nucleotide ribosomal RNA is filed under the name uncultured Gemella sp. RNAcentral's name for it is "partial 16S ribosomal RNA". It matches the Rfam family "Bacterial small subunit ribosomal RNA", at positions 111 to 356 of the family's 1533-position model. Lineage: Bacteria; Bacillati; Bacillota; Bacilli; Caryophanales; Gemellaceae. The record is from RNAcentral.
UAACACGUAAAGAACCUACCUUAUAGACAGGGACAACUAUUGGAAACGAUAGCUAAUACCUGAUAAGAAAGAAACUCGCAUGAGAGAAGUUCGAAAGUCGGAGCAAUCUGACACUAUAAGAUGGCUUUGCGGUGCAUUAGCUAGUUGGUAGGGUAAAAGCCUACCAAGGCGACGAUGCAUAGCCGACCUGAGAGGGUGAUCGGCCACAUUGGGACUGAGACACGGCCCAGACUCCUACGGGAGGCAGCAGCG